UGGGGAAUAUUGGACAAUGGGCGAAAGCCUGAUCCAGCCAUGCCGCGUGUGUGAAGAAGGUCUUCGGAUUGUAAAGCACUUUAAGUUGGGAGGAAGGGCAGUAAGUUAAUACCUUGCUGUUUUGACGUUACCAACAGAAUAAGCACCGGCUAACUUCGUGCCAGCAGCCGCGGUAAUACGAAGGGUGCAAGCGUUAAUCGGAAUUACUGGGCGUAAAGCGCGCGUAGGUGGUUUGGUAAGAUGGAUGUGAAAUCCCCGGGCUCAACCUGGGAACUGCAUCCAUAACUGCCUGACUAAAGUACGGUAGGGGGUGGUGGAAUUUCCUGUGUAGCGGUGAAAUGCGUAGAUAUAGGAAGGAACACCAGUGGCGAAGGCGACCACCUGGACUGAUACUGACACUGAGGUGCGAAAGCGUGGGGAGCAAACA
This 427-nucleotide ribosomal RNA is filed under the name uncultured bacterium. Its description in RNAcentral is "bacterial SSU rRNA". It matches the Rfam family "Bacterial small subunit ribosomal RNA", at positions 355 to 774 of the family's 1533-position model. The record is from RNAcentral.